UACGUAGGGGCAAGCGUUGUCCGGAAUCAUUGGGCGUAAAGCGCGUGUAGGCGGCCAGAAAAGUCCGCUGUGAAAACUCGAGGCUCAACUUCGAGCUGUCGGUGGAAACUUUCUGGCUAGAGUCCGGAAGAGGAGAAUGGAAUUCCUGGUGUAGCGGUGAAAUGCGCAGAUAUCAGGAAGAACACCCGUGGCGAAGGCGGUUCUCUGGGACGGUACUGACGCUGAGACGCGAAAGCGUGGGGAGCGAAACAGGG
RNAcentral lists this ribosomal RNA (254 nucleotides) under uncultured bacterium. RNAcentral's name for it is "partial 16S ribosomal RNA". It matches the Rfam family "Bacterial small subunit ribosomal RNA", at positions 524 to 777 of the family's 1533-position model. The record is from RNAcentral.